RNAcentral lists this ribosomal RNA (482 nucleotides) under uncultured bacterium. RNAcentral describes it as "bacterial SSU rRNA". It matches the Rfam family "Bacterial small subunit ribosomal RNA", at positions 31 to 507 of the family's 1533-position model. The record is from RNAcentral.
GAACGCUGGCGGCAUGCCUUACACAUGCAAGUCGAACGGCAGCACGGGUGCUUGCACCUGGUGGCGAGUGGCGAACGGGUGAGUAAUACAUCGGAACGUACCUUAUCGUGGGGGAUAACGCAGCGAAAGCUGUGCUAAUACCGCAUACGCCCUGAGGGGAAAGCGGGGGAUCGAAAGACCUCGCGCGAUUAGAGCGGCCGAUGCCUGAUUAGCUUGUUGGUGGGGUAAAAGCCCACCAAGGCGACGAUCAGUAGCUGGUCUGAGAGGACGAUCAGCCACACUGGGACUGAGACACGGCCCAGACUCCUACGGGAGGCAGCAGUGGGGAAUUUUGGACAAUGGGGGCAACCCUGAUCCAGCCAUGCCGCGUGAGUGAAGAAGGCCUUCGGGUUGUAAAGCUCUUUCGGCCGGGAAGAAAUCGCAUGGGUUAAUACCCUGUGCGGAUGACGGUACCGGCAUAAGAAGCACCGGCUAACUACGUG